This 689-nucleotide ribosomal RNA is filed under the name uncultured Gram-positive bacterium. RNAcentral describes it as "bacterial SSU rRNA". It matches the Rfam family "Bacterial small subunit ribosomal RNA", at positions 1 to 708 of the family's 1533-position model. The record is from RNAcentral.
UGAGUUUGAUCAUGGCUCAGGACGAACGCUGGCGGCGUGCUUAACACAUGCAAGUCGAACGGAAAGGCCCUGCUUUUGUGGGGUGCUCGAGUGGCGAACGGGUGAGUAACACGUGAGUAACCUGCCCUUGACUUUGGGAUAACUUCAGGAAACUGGGGCUAAUACCGGAUAGGAGCUCCUGCUGCAUGGUGGGGGUUGGAAAGUUUCGGCGGUUGGGAAUGGACUCGCGGCUUAUCAGCUUGUUGGUGGGGUAGUGGCUUACCAAGGCUUUGACGGGUAGCCGGCCUGAGAGGGUGACCGGCCACAUUGGGACUGAGAUACGGCCCAGACUCCUACGGGAGGCAGCAGUGGGGAAUAUUGCACAAUGGGCGGAAGCCUGAUGCAGCAACGCCGCGUGCGGGAUGACGGCCUUCGGGUUGUAAACCGCUUUCGCCUGUGACGAAGCGUGAGUGACGGUAAUGGGUAAAGAAGCACCGGCUAACUACGUGCCAGCAGCCGCGGUGAUACGUAGGGUGCGAGCGUUGUCCGGAUUUAUUGGGCGUAAAGGGCUCGUAGGUGGUUGAUCGCGUCGGAAGUGUAAUCUUGGGGCUUAACCCUGAGCGUGCUUUCGAUACGGGUUGACUUGAGGAAGGUAGGGGAGAAUGGAAUUCCUGGUGGAGCGGUGGAAUGCGCAGAUAUCAGGAGGAACA